CCUACGGGAGGCAGCAGUGGGGAAUAUUGGGCAAUGGAGGCAACUCUGACCCAGCAAAGCCGCGUGAAUGAUGAAGGUCCUCGGAUUGUAAAGUUCCUUUUUAAGGGAAGAAGAAAGUGACGGUACCUCAGGAAUAAGCCUCGGCUAACUACGUGCCAGCGGCCGCGGCAAUACGUAGGACGCAAGCGUUAUCCGGAAGGACUGGGCGUAAAGGGUGCGUAGGUGGUUUGACAAGUUAGUAGCGCAACUCCGCAGCUCAACUUCGGAACUACUACUAAAACUGUUGGACUUGAGUGCAGGAGAGGUAAUCGGAAUUCCUGGUGUAGCGGUGGAAUGCGUAGAUAUUAGGAGGAACACCGGUGGCGAAGGCGGAUUACUAGACUGUAACUGACACUGAGGCACGAAAGCGUGGGGAGCAAACAGGAUUAGAUACCCCAGUAGUC
Molecule: ribosomal RNA, 443 nt
Filed under: uncultured bacterium
Lineage: Bacteria
Description: partial 16S ribosomal RNA
Rfam family: Bacterial small subunit ribosomal RNA
Source: RNAcentral